UAAAAAAUAGGCAAAAAGAGAGCAAAGUUGUACAGAGUGCUAUAACAUGUACACGAUCGAUUUUGUUGAUGGAAAGAAAUACGUUCAUAGGGUUGGUGACAUAUGUGGUGACUAUUACGUACCACUGGCGUUACCUGGAAGGUACAAAAGCAACGUAGAAGACAUAGAAAAUAUAUUAUAUUUAUGGGUAAAUAAAAUAAAAAAAAAAGAAAGAAAAGACUUACGUACGUUUAGUUUACUAUAUAAAGAAAUUAAAUUUUCAUUAAUAUUAUCAAAGAGUAGAUAUGAAAAUAAAUUUUGUGUGUGGGAAAUAUUAUGGUAUGCGUGGAAAAACGUUUUGAAAAGGACGUUCGACAAUAUUAAUUGUACCAAUAGGAGUAAUAACGGCACAAGUAGUGACACUAAUAAUAAUAAAAAUAUAGAAAACAAUAACAGCAGUAGAAACCGUAGCAGUAGUAGUAACAGCAACAGCAGCACUAGCAGUAGUAGUAGUAGUAGUAGUAGUAGUAGUAGUAGCAAAUUCGCUGAGCUUUUAAAAACCAAUACACGCGAUAUACAGGCGGGUUGCAUUUAUUUAUUAUUUUUGUUAUAUUUUUCACAGUACGUAGAAAACAGUAAGUAUUCUUAUCCAUUAUAUUUAUCAACAAAAAUAUUUAAUUUAUUAUUAACAAUUACAGAAGAAUGUGAAAAGGCUAAUGAAUACAACGAAUUACGAUUUUUAUUAAAUUUUAUGAUAGACUCCAAUAGUAUUAUUUUAUGUUAUGAUGAUAAUUUAUAUGAGGUUUAUCAAGAUAGGUAUGGUGCUCCUUUGCAUAUUGAGAAAACAAAACUAGGCGUAGAAAAUAGUAUAAAAAUAAACGAUGUAAAUACAUUCAGUUUUUUUAAACAUGUUCAGGAAGAUCUAAAAGAUUUAUGUAAUAUAUGUGACACACAAAGAAAACGAAAUACUUUUAGUAAUUCGUUUGCAUAUAAUAUGUAUUCAAAGUUAGAGGACAUUCAAAAAAUUUUAACCAAUGACUGACAACUUUUUGUCUUACAACAAAAAAAGGGUAUAAUAAAAUAAACUGGAAUAAAUAUUAUUUUAGCA
This 1087-nucleotide long non-coding RNA is filed under the name Piliocolobus tephrosceles (Ugandan red Colobus). Its description in RNAcentral is "lncRNA (ENSPTEG00000013857.1)". Lineage: Eukaryota; Metazoa; Chordata; Mammalia; Primates; Cercopithecidae. The record is from RNAcentral.